RNAcentral lists this ribosomal RNA (199 nucleotides) under uncultured bacterium. RNAcentral describes it as "partial 16S ribosomal RNA". It matches the Rfam family "Bacterial small subunit ribosomal RNA", at positions 328 to 539 of the family's 1533-position model. The record is from RNAcentral.
ACGCUCGACACCUACGGGAGGCAGCAGUGGGGAAUAUUGCACAAUGGGGGAAACCCGUGAUGCAGCAACGCCGCGUGAAGGAAGACGGUUUUCGGAUUGUAAACUUCUGUUCUUAGUGAAGAUAGUGACGGUAGCUAAGGAGCAAGCCACGGCUAACUACGUGCCAGUAGCCGCGGUAAUCUGAGCGGGCUGGCAAGGC